Molecule: long non-coding RNA, 704 nt
Organism: Lactuca sativa (garden lettuce)
Lineage: Eukaryota; Viridiplantae; Streptophyta; Magnoliopsida; Asterales; Asteraceae
Source: RefSeq, a predicted model, not a curated record
GGUGUUGGAGGAGAGGAAUAAGUAUGCGGGGAACAAAUUUGAUGAUGAUGUGUUUGAUGUAAAUGAUUAUAGUGAAGUUAAAGAGGAGUGGGAGGAGAGGAAUGACAAUGCGGGGAACAAAUUUGACGAUGAUGUGCCGGACGAAGACGAACUAAUAAUAACGGGAAUUGUAGAUUAUUUUGAUGAUUAUGAUGGCAAAUAAGUUACAUCCGAUAAACCGAGGACUUGAAAACCAUCACAAUAUUUGUGCCCUCCUUACACCGAGUUGCACACGACACCGAAGCAAAAAAGAAGAACAAAAAAGAAGGUUGAUAUCAAAUCAACAAGCCCCGUUCCUCCUCCAGUUUUUGGUGUUGCUCAUGACUUCUCCAUGUUGCGCCUGCAACCUUACGUAGCAGGCGGUGAGGUUGUCAUCCAAAAUUAUAUAUUUCAUUCAUAUGAUGUCCAGCAUCGUUUGUUUAAUUUCGUGUUAGAUAGAGAUUUUUGGAGCUCAUUGUUUGGGCAUACACACGGCGGAUGGUUGGAGUCAGCGCAUAUAACCAUUUGGUACCGACUAUUGAUGGAGAGACGGUUUGAGAGCGACCGACAUACAAUAAUGCCUCCAAAUUUUUUUGUUUCUCAUGCUUUGGAAGAAGGACAGGACUGGAGGGCGUUUAUGGUUGGUAUUGCUACGUACCCCAACUUCAUGGUUGCUUGGUGGGAUG